AACGAACGCUGGCGGCAUGCCUAACACAUGCAAGUCGAACGAGACCUUCGGGUCUCGUGGCGCACGGGUGCGUAACGCGUGGGAACCUUCCCUUAGGUUCUGAAUAACUCCCCUAAAGGGGUGCUAAUCCCGGAUAAUGUCUUCGGACCAAAGAUUUAUCGCCUUUGGAUGGGCCCGCGUUGGAUUAGCUAGUUGGUAGGGUAAAAGCCUACCAAGGCGACGAUCCAUAGCUGGUCUGAGAGGAUGAUCAGCCACACUGGGACUGAGACACGGCCCAGACUCCUACGGGAGGCAGCAGUGGGGAAUAUUGGACAAUGGGCGAAAGCCUGAUCCAGCAAUGCCGCGUGAGGGAUGAAGGCCUUAGGGUUGUAAAGCUCUUUUACCCGGGAUGAUAAUGACAGUACCGGGAGAAUAAGCUCCGGCUAACUCCGUG
This 433-nucleotide ribosomal RNA is filed under the name uncultured bacterium. RNAcentral describes it as "partial 16S ribosomal RNA". It matches the Rfam family "Bacterial small subunit ribosomal RNA", at positions 29 to 507 of the family's 1533-position model. The record is from RNAcentral.